AAAAAAGCGUAACAAGGUUUCCGUAGGUGAACCUGCGGAAGGAUCAUUACCUAGAGUUUGCAGACUUCGGUCUGCUACCUCUUACCCAUGUCUUUUGAGUACCUUCGUUUCCUCGGCGGGUCCGCCCGCCGGUUGGACAACAUUCAAACCCUUUGCAGUUGCAAUCAGCGUCUGAAAAAACUUAAUAGUUACAACUUUCAACAACGGAUCUCUUGGUUCUGGCAUCGAUGAAGAACGCAGCGAAAUGCGAUAAGUAGUGUGAAUUGCAGAAUUCAGUGAAUCAUCGAAUCUUUGAACGCACAUUGCGCCCCUUGGUAUUCCAUGGGGCAUGCCUGUUCGAGCGUCAUUUGUACCUUCAAGCUCUGCUUGGUGUUGGGUGUUUUGUCUCGCCUCCGCGCGCAGACUCGCCUUAAAACAAUUGGCAGCCGGCGUAUUGAUUUCGGAGCGCAGUACAUCUCGCGCUUUGCACUCAUAACGACGACGUCCAAAAGUACAUUUUUACACUCUUGACCUCGGAUCAGGUAGGGAUACCCGCUGAACUUAAGCAUAUCAAUAGG
This 557-nucleotide ribosomal RNA is filed under the name Epicoccum nigrum. Its description in RNAcentral is "eukaryotic LSU rRNA". The stretch from base 193 to 346 matches the Rfam family "5.8S ribosomal RNA". The record is from RNAcentral. Lineage: Eukaryota; Fungi; Ascomycota; Dothideomycetes; Pleosporales; Didymellaceae.